AUGGUCACCAAGGUAAAAUCAUGUGAGUCUCAUGUGGAUAUUAGCACAUCUUCUACUCGAAAUGCCCUAUUGCCAUGUGCUAGUCCUUGCAAUUCCUAUCUACAUGAUAUUGGUACAUCUUGUGAUGAAUUGCUCACCAUGCCUUGUUGCUCUAACAAUGAAGCGUCUACUUCCUCUAGUUCUUUUGUUAAUACUAACCUUAUAGAGGAAAAUAAAGAGCUCAAGGUCCAAGUCACUAGUUUGAAGAAGGACUUGGAAAAAUGUUGUAGUAAUAUAUUGAGUGUGCAAAAGGACCCUCAAGACAAAAUAGGACUUUAUUUCAUCUCCAAUAAGAAGAAGUCCAAGAACAAGAAGAAGGGACAAGAUCAAGUCAAGAAUUCGGCCAACAUUACUUUCUUCAAGUGGAAGAAUGUUGGACACCAUGUGAGAUCUUGUCCAUUGAAGAAGAAGGCUUAA
This 456-nucleotide ribosomal RNA is filed under the name Triticum aestivum (bread wheat). RNAcentral's name for it is "partial small subunit ribosomal RNA". The record is from RNAcentral. Lineage: Eukaryota; Viridiplantae; Streptophyta; Magnoliopsida; Poales; Poaceae.